This 407-nucleotide ribosomal RNA is filed under the name uncultured bacterium. RNAcentral describes it as "partial 16S ribosomal RNA". It matches the Rfam family "Bacterial small subunit ribosomal RNA", at positions 30 to 526 of the family's 1533-position model. The record is from RNAcentral.
AUUGAACGCUGGCGGCAGGCCUAACACAUGCAAGUCGAGCGGAGCGGCGGACGGGUGAGUAAUGCCUAGGAAUCUGCCUGGUAGUGGGGGAUAACGUUCGGUAACGGGCGCUAUUACCGCAUCCUCUCAGUUUAGCCUAGGUCGGAUUAGCUAGUUGGUGGGGUAAAGGCCUACCAAGGCGACGAUCCGUAACUGGUCUGAGAGGAUGAUCAGUCACACUGGAACUGAGACACGGUCCAGACUCCUACGGGAGGCAGCAGUGGGGAAUAUUGGACAAUGGGCGAAAGCCUGAUCCAGCCAUGCCGCGUGUGUGAAGAAGGUCUUCGGAUUGUAAAGCACUUUAAGUUGGGAGGCGUUACCAACAGAAUAAGCACCGGCUAACUUCGUGCCAGCCGCCGCGGUAAUUC